AAAAGAGAGGAAGAGGAGCUCCGAUUUCCAGGAGGGGUCCCGAGUGGGUAGCUGCCGAGUUCUUUGUCAAAGAGACUUGCAGGCCUGGCUUCCCUGUCUCCAUCUUGAGACCUGGCUCUCUUCAGAUUCACCUCUAGCCACAGUUUUGUAAAUUCUACCUGUACUUCUGCAAGGCUGCCUGUUGGGUCUUCACUGAAUUCUUUCAUGAAUGACACAAAGAACUGAGGACCAAGGAGUGAGGACCUGGCUUCCCAGUGACAAGUGUACAACACAGAUUUCUUUUGAAAUCUGUUCGAAGUUGUGCACUUUAAAGUGUAGGAGAGAAAAAUAUUUUGCCUUCUACCACCCCCAGAUUCAAUGACUGGGGCCCACAGAUCAAAUUGAUAAAAGACAUACUGAC
This 400-nucleotide long non-coding RNA is filed under the name Heterocephalus glaber (naked mole-rat). RNAcentral describes it as "lncRNA (ENSHGLG00000036869.1)". The record is from RNAcentral. Lineage: Eukaryota; Metazoa; Chordata; Mammalia; Rodentia; Bathyergidae.